Chelonoidis abingdonii (Abingdon island giant tortoise) is the source of this 98-nucleotide non-coding RNA. NCBI's taxonomy places the organism in Eukaryota, Metazoa, Chordata, Testudines, Testudinidae. The record is from RefSeq and is a predicted model, not a curated record.
GGAAGCACUGGUGACCCCAGGCUCAAGGAACAGUUCCAGACUGAGCAGGAAGCCGAGAUACAGCCUUCAGAAAGCUUUGGCGGCGGCACGGAGCACCC